This is a ribosomal RNA of Rhineura floridana, 120 nucleotides long. The record is from RefSeq and is a predicted model, not a curated record. NCBI's taxonomy places the organism in Eukaryota, Metazoa, Chordata, Lepidosauria, Squamata, Rhineuridae.
GCCUAUGGCCAUACUACCCUGAACAUGCCCGAUCUCGUCUGAUCUCGGAAGCUAAGCAGGGUCAGGCCUGGUUAGUACUUGGAUGGGAGACCACCUGGGAAUGCCAGGGGGCUGUAGGCU